GAUGAACGCUGGCGGCGUGCCUGAUACAUGCAAGUCGAACGCACAGCGAAAGGUGCUUGCACCUUUCAAGUGAGUGGCGAACGGGUGAGUAACACGUGGACAACCUGCCUCAAGGCUGGGGAUAACAUUUGGAAACAGAUGCUAAUACCGAAUGAAACUUAGUGUCGCAUGAUACGAAGUUAAAAGGCGCUUUGGCGUCACCUAGAGAUGGAUCCGCGGUGCAUUAGUUAGUUGGUGGGGUAAAGGCCUACCAAGACAAUGAUGCAUAGCCGAGUGGAGAGACUGAUCGGCCACAUUGGGACUGAGACACGGCCCAAACUCCUACGGGAGGCUGCAGUAGGGAAUCUUCCACAAGGGGCGAAAGCCUGAUGGAGCAACGCCGCGUGUGUGAUGAAGGCUUUCGGGUCGUAAAGCACUGUUGUAUGGGAAGAACAGCUAGAAUAGGGAAUGAUUUUAGUUUGACGGUACCAUACCAGAAAGGGACGGCUAAAUACGUGCCAGCCGCCGCAGUAA
This 513-nucleotide ribosomal RNA is filed under the name uncultured bacterium. RNAcentral describes it as "partial 16S ribosomal RNA". It matches the Rfam family "Bacterial small subunit ribosomal RNA", at positions 28 to 523 of the family's 1533-position model. The record is from RNAcentral.